Molecule: ribosomal RNA, 723 nt
Filed under: Francisella tularensis subsp. holarctica
Lineage: Bacteria; Pseudomonadati; Pseudomonadota; Gammaproteobacteria; Thiotrichales; Francisellaceae
Description: bacterial SSU rRNA
Rfam family: Bacterial small subunit ribosomal RNA
Source: RNAcentral
UGGUGGGGUAAGGGCCCACCAAGGCUACGAUCCAUAGCUGAUUUGAGAGGAUGAUCAGCCACAUUGGGACUGAGACACGGCCCAAACUCCUACGGGAGGCAGCAGUGGGGAAUAUUGGACAAUGGGGGCAACCCUGAUCCAGCAAUGCCAUGUGUGUGAAGAAGGCCCUAGGGUUGUAAAGCACUUUAGUUGGGGAGGAAAGCCUCAAGGUUAAUAGCCUUGGGGGAGGACGUUACCCAAAGAAUAAGCACCGGCUAACUCCGUGCCAGCAGCCGCGGUAAUACGGGGGGUGCAAGCGUUAAUCGGAAUUACUGGGCGUAAAGGGUCUGUAGGUGGUUUGUUAAGUCAGAUGUGAAAGCCCAGGGCUCAACCUUGGAACUGCAUUUGAUACUGGCAAACUAGAGUACGGUAGAGGAAUGGGGAAUUUCUGGUGUAGCGGUGAAAUGCGUAGAGAUCAGAAGGAACACCAAUGGCGAAGGCAACAUUCUGGACCGAUACUGACACUGAGGGACGAAAGCGUGGGGAUCAAACAGGAUUAGAUACCCUGGUAGUCCACGCUGUAAACGAUGAGUACUAGCUGUUGGAGUCGGUGUAAAGGCUCUAGUGGCGCAGCUAACGCGAUAAGUACUCCGCCUGGGGACUACGGCCGCAAGGCUAAAACUCAAAGGAAUUGACGGGGACCCGCACAAGCGGUGGAGCAUGUGGUUUAAUUCGAUGCAACGC